CAGCAAUGACGAGUGAGUGAUGAAGGCGGUAGGGGUGUCAGACUAUUUUAGCAAGGAAGAUGAUGACGUUACUUGCAGUACCAGCCCCGGGUAACUCCGUGCCAGCAGCCGCGGUAAGACGGGGGGGGCUAGCGUUCUUCGGAAUUACUGGGCGUAAAGAGUGCGUAGGCGGUUUAGUAAGUUGGAAGUGAAAGCCCGGGGCUUAACCUCGGAAUUGCUUUCAAAACUACUAAUCUAGAGUGUAGUAGGGGAUGAUGGAAUUCCUAGUGUAGAGGUGCAAUUCUUACAUAUUAGGAGGAACACCGGUGGCGAAGGCGGUCAUCUGGGCUACAACCGACGCUAAUGCACGAAAGCGUGGGGAGCAAACAGGAUU
This 373-nucleotide ribosomal RNA is filed under the name uncultured bacterium. RNAcentral's name for it is "bacterial SSU rRNA". It matches the Rfam family "Bacterial small subunit ribosomal RNA", at positions 389 to 779 of the family's 1533-position model. The record is from RNAcentral.